Non-coding RNA from Triticum aestivum (bread wheat), 124 nucleotides. Lineage: Eukaryota; Viridiplantae; Streptophyta; Magnoliopsida; Poales; Poaceae. The record is from Rfam.
UUAAUACUCCCUCCGUCCGAAAAUACUUGUCCUAGAAAUGGAUAUAAUGGAUGUAUCUAUAACUAAAAUAAGUCUAGAUACAUCCAUCUCUAGGACAAGUAUUUCCGGACGGAGGGAGUAGUAG